Molecule: non-coding RNA, 58 nt
Organism: Mus musculus (house mouse)
Lineage: Eukaryota; Metazoa; Chordata; Mammalia; Rodentia; Muridae
Source: Rfam
UGGCUCAGUGGUUAAGAGCACUGACUGCUCUUUCAGAGGUCCUGAGUUCAAUUCUCAG